GACGAACGCUGGCGGCGUGCUUAACACAUGCAAGUCGAACGGUGAAGCGCCUUCCUUUCUGCUGGGUGGGGAUGAGCGGCGAACGGGUGAGUAACACGUGAGUAACCUUCUCCCUUCUUCUGGAUAACCGCAUGAAAGUGUGGCUAACACGGGAUAUUCUGAGCCUCUCGCAUGAUUGGUGUGGGAAAGAUAUUGUUUCGGUUGGGGAUGGGUCCGCGCCCCAUUAGCUUGUUGGUGAGGUGACGGCCUACCAAGGCGGCGAUGAGUAGCCGGCCUGAGAGGGGGAUGGACGACACUGCAGGGGAGACACGGCGCAGACGCCUCCGGCGGGAGGCAGCAGGGAGGAUUAUGGAACGGUGGGAGGAAGGAUGGUGCAGCGACGCGGGGGGAGUGAUGGACUCCGUAGGGUUGUGAACCUUUAUCGGGAAAGAAGCAGUGCUGACUCGUUUGUGCGCGGCUUGACGGUAGCUGAAUAGGAAGCGACGGCUAACUACGUG
This 497-nucleotide ribosomal RNA is filed under the name uncultured bacterium. Its description in RNAcentral is "partial 16S ribosomal RNA". It matches the Rfam family "Bacterial small subunit ribosomal RNA", at positions 28 to 507 of the family's 1533-position model. The record is from RNAcentral.